AUCGUUCUUCGAAUUCAAGUCACAAGUUCUCCAAGUCACAAAUGAAUUCAACAAAAAACGAGCUAACAGAAAAAUAGCGAUUUCCAGAUUCAGGGUAAGGGAGGUACUUGUUACUUCAAGAGCGAAUAAACGCCGGUCACCGUCGUCCGAGGGAGUAGUCGCCACCGGAGAAUCCACCACCGAUCAACUUCGUUUAUUCUCCGUGUGUCGAGACUCACAGGUGGUUGUAUCAUGGAGUAUUGGAAACACGUUGCUGCAUUUCAGCCUUGCAAGUGACCUAUGUGCUCCUGUCCAAUUAUCAAAUUGACCCUGGAAGCAACAUUAUCCCAACAGCAGGAUGCAGGGAUCCAUGAUGUUAUCAAGAAUGUUAGGCAGUACAAUUGCCUUUUUGCUGGUGGUGCUUGCAGUUUCAUUCUGCAAGUGCUUUAGUUGCCUUUAUUUGUCAAGAGAUUGCUUCAAGCAAUGGUGGAUCCUGAUAGACCUGUUGCUUAUCUUAGAAGAUUGCUUUAGUUGCAGUGUUUCUUGGUGCUCUUUACACACUUAGCCCUUUUGACAUCCUCCCAUGAUGUUGGAGCCUGUGAUCAUCAGCUAUAUACAAUGAUCUUGAUUACAUUCGUUGUUGCUAUUUUUCAUAUUUUUGGUGUAUUUUAUAUGGUAUUUGGGACAAAUUUGAAUUGAAUAUGGUAUUUAAUGAAAAAAUUGGCAGUUUUUAA
This is a non-coding RNA of Lactuca sativa (garden lettuce), 713 nucleotides long. The record is from RefSeq and is a predicted model, not a curated record. Lineage: Eukaryota; Viridiplantae; Streptophyta; Magnoliopsida; Asterales; Asteraceae.